UUCACCGUGUUAGCCAGGAUGGUCUCAAUCUCCUGACCUCGUGAUCCACCCGCCUUGGCCUCCCAAAGUGCUGGGAUUACAGGCGUGAGCCACUGUGCUCGGCCAGCAUCUGGUAUUUUUUAUUUUUUAUUUAUUUAUGUUUUUGAGAUAGAGUCUUGCUGUGUCACCCAGGCUGGAGUACAAUGGUGUGAUCGUGGCUCACUGCAAGCUCCGCCUCCCAGGUUCAUGCCAUUCUGCCUCAGCCUCCUGAGUAGCUGGGACUACAGGCGCGUGCCACCACACCUGGCCAAUUUUUUGUAUUUUAAGUAGAGAUGGGGUUUCACUGUGUUAGUUAGGGUGGUCUCGAUCUCCUGACCUCGUAAUCCGUCCCCCUCGGCCUCCCAAAGUGCUGGGAUUACAGGUGUGAGCCACUGUGCCCGGCCUGCAUCUGCUACUUUUUAAUGUG
This 445-nucleotide long non-coding RNA is filed under the name Homo sapiens (human). RNAcentral's name for it is "non-protein coding lnc-C3orf62-1:1". Lineage: Eukaryota; Metazoa; Chordata; Mammalia; Primates; Hominidae. The record is from RNAcentral.